GGAGACUCCAGUGGAAGAGGCAACUUUGGAUACAGAAUCCAACCGUGGAGCAAGUCAGCAAGUUCUUAAGAGAGAACACUUCAUUUGGGAUACAGUCUGAAGUCCUGAUCCUCUGCAAUUGUGGAAGGUGAACUGUAAAAAAAAAAAAAAAGGUGCAGAGAUGAUUUGGGAGGAGUGUCUCUCUUUAAAAGGAUGUUGUAAGUCCUCUAUUUAUAUCACUUGAAGAAAGUGAAUGAAAGGAGUGAGAA
RNAcentral lists this long non-coding RNA (248 nucleotides) under Cyanistes caeruleus (blue tit). Its description in RNAcentral is "lncRNA (ENSCCEG00000015810.1)". Lineage: Eukaryota; Metazoa; Chordata; Aves; Passeriformes; Paridae. The record is from RNAcentral.